GUGUUUUUCUUUGCAUGAGAGAUUAGUGACAGGCUAAAGUGUCACUUCACUAAAGCUGCUGAGAGGAAGAAGUGAUGAAAUGUGCUUUUUAAUAGAAGGUGUCACGGCCAGGCAGAUCAGCUGCACGCUGAUCAGCACUCUCUCUGUUUCUCUCUCUUCCUCUUUCUCUCCUCUCCUCUCUCGCCGGGGCGGAACUCACUGUGGGUUCACGCCCUCGGCCCACGCCCUCGGGAGAUGAGACACCUGGGUCUCAUCAAGGUGAUCAGCAUUUAAGCCAGGAGGUGACUGCUGUUCGUCGCUGGAUCGUUGUCUACCACGCGUUAGUGAAGUCAAGCUACAGCAAGUUAGUUAAGAGUGUUUUCCUGUGUGCGUCGUACUUAACCCUGUCUCCCUGUCUACAGAGCUUCCUGGAUUUUUCCCCCGUGUGAUUCCCGUGUGGCAGUGUCGGAGUGUGAGCCUGUGAUCGUGUGAGUGGAUAAUCUGAAGAACGCGUGCUUUCCCCUGGACCUCCCUGGAGACCCUUCUCCCCUCACUCAGCUGUAUAUAGCACCCCCCGCACAUUCUUGUAUAUACACCUGGUGAAUUGUAAAUAAACCCUUCUUGUGAGCAUCAGAACCGGAGUCCUGCGCUUGAGUCCUCCUCCAAACCGUAACAAUAACGAUCCAGCCAUCAUGGACUCAGCGGACUCAAAUCCCACCCAGCAACCUGUCCUCACCCCGGAGGCAAUUCUGGAACGCCACGAACACAUGCUUCGGCACAUAAAUCAACAACUGGCUGCACUCACUCAAGUCCUCGCUCAACAUCUACCAUCGGUAAGCCCACCCUCACCCCCUCCGUCUGUUUCUCCUCAGCUAUCGGCCCCGAAUCCAUCUGCAGCCGCUCCGCCUGUUUCCCCCGCACCGGCUUCCACUGAACCUCCAGAGCGAUCGUUACCAGCGCCGGAGCCUUUCUCGGAUAGAUGAGCACCUACGGGCGCGUCGGGGAACCGGAAACUACAUUUCCCAGAGGCCCCCGGGGCGCAUGGAGACGACGUCAGGUGGAGGCGCGCUUAGCGGCAGUCACGCAUCGGAUAGCAUGGAGGAAAGUGAACAGCCCAUGCAACUGGGCCGCUCCAGACUGUCGCCCGAGGAGCGGUAUCGUCGCAGGAGAGCCGGUGAGUGCUUUUAUUGUGGCCGCAAGGGCCAUAUUGCCAUGGAUUGCCCAGCUCGGCCAAAAGACAGCGCCCGCCAGUAGUGAGGAGUGUACGGGUGGGCGAGGUCACCUGUUCUCAGUCUCCUCCUCGUCUCAUGAUUGCAG
Long non-coding RNA from Oreochromis aureus, 1296 nucleotides. Lineage: Eukaryota; Metazoa; Chordata; Actinopteri; Cichliformes; Cichlidae. The record is from Ensembl.